AUAAACAAGAAUGUGUCCAAAGUACACGAAUGCCCCACUCGCACUAUCAUUUUCCAUGUUCAAUGGACCGUGAAAUUGGAUAAAAAAUAUAAUUAGGCAUUAAAAUUAGAAAGAUAAUGCCAUAAGGAACAUGUGUACUAAGUUUCAAGUUGAUUGGACUUCAACUUCAUCAAAAACUACCUUGACCAAAAACUUUAACCUGAAGCGGGACAGACGGGUGAACGAGCGGACAGACAGACAGACAGAAGGACGAACGGACGCACAGACCAGAAAACAUAAUGCCCCUCUACUAUCGUAGGUGGGGCAUA
RNAcentral lists this long non-coding RNA (308 nucleotides) under Mytilus galloprovincialis (Mediterranean mussel). Lineage: Eukaryota; Metazoa; Mollusca; Bivalvia; Mytilida; Mytilidae. The record is from RNAcentral.